AUGCAUCUCUGACAAACCUGGAGCAGUUAAUGUCUGCUGCUAAUAUUUCCACUACAGAUGAAAGAAAAAGAAGGUCCUUGUGCUUUCUGUCUGUCUGUUUGUGGCAGCUAAGAUUGAAUGGGGGGAUACAGGA
Molecule: small nucleolar RNA, 133 nt
Organism: Dasypus novemcinctus (nine-banded armadillo)
Lineage: Eukaryota; Metazoa; Chordata; Mammalia; Cingulata; Dasypodidae
Source: Ensembl